UGCAGUUGGUCCUAUACGAUUAAUUCAAUAGCUCAAUAUCUCACUAAGCCGGAGUCACCACAGUGACCUAUACGGCCCUACUCUGCACAUCACUCGGAACUACGUAAGGUAGUCUAUACGAUGAAAGGUGUAAAAUACGCUCUAGUGCUUCUCUCAUCAUAUCAUCAGCGCGCAUAUCUAAGGUCACCCACCAGUCGGAACCCCUCUAAUGGUCUGUACGACUGGCAUGUCGGAACCCUUACAUGGUCUGUACGACAUCCACCUACUUGGAUCCAAGGCGAGCGUGCGGUGUGGUGAAUAAUAUAAGCACUAACACCUAGGGUGCAGAUUAUGAGCUCAAACAUCUCAACAACAACAAUUCAAUGAAUAAACGAACUCACCUGACUUACCUGUGCCUCCACAGCACCAUGCAACAUGUAUGCAUCAUAUAUCAAUCAUAUAACUCAUAUGAAAUUCACAUUUUCCAAAUAAUUCUAUGCAUGGCAUUUUCAAAACAUAAUUUCGCAUAAAAGCAUUUUUCUGGGAAAAACAAUAGUAUAUAGGUAAUACGAAAACAAAACUGCCCACUCACCUGGAGUUCGCCCACAACUCCCUAGCACCGUACAUCAAGGCGUCAUGACGAUUAGCGCCUAGAACAACAAUCAAAUCCAACCUCAGAAAUUCUGCCGAUAGAAUACAUAACUUAUAUAAGACACGUCACUACGUAGUUCGAUCCGGAUGAUCUGCAAUUCAGAUUUCAAAUCCGUAACUUCCAGAGGUCCACAAUAUACCUCUAGGACAACAUCCUAAAAUUUCAUUACCAUCCAACGGUCGGAUCUCCGUCAAUUUCCAAAACUAAGUGACGGUUAACAUUCUAUUUUAUGAACUUACAACUUCAAUUCCGGAAGAUCCGUAAAUCGGAUUCCCAAUCCGUAAGUUCCUAUAAUCCUCAAAUAUUACGUAUUACAACGUAUCAAAGUUUUGAUGACGAUCCAACGGUCGGAUCGUCAAUUCACAUUUUCACCUAACCACGAAAUCGUAACCAACUUAGGUUCAAUUAUUCAAUUUACGUCCAUCAAUUAUCAAAACAGAACCUAGAACCUUAAUCACAAGCUAAUAAUGACAUUGGCGGGCCAUUGGCCACGCGCCGCCGCGCGGGCCGCCGCGGGUGGCGGUUGGCCGCCCCCGGCUCGCCGGAAAAUUCAACUAUUUCCAAAAAUUACCAAAAUUUUCAGAUUUGAAGAUCUCAAUGAGUAGAACAACUUUCAUACCUGAGACCAAUGCCAAUUUGGCCUGGAAGUGCUUCAAUUUCACCAAAACCGUGAAGAACCCUAGAAUUUGGGUGUUUCCAAUUCGACCUUCAAACUUGUUCCAACGCCUCAAUUACCUCUUGGGCUUUGUUCUAGGUCCUAAAGGAAUGCUAAAGGUGUUAGUAAUUGAAAGAAAACAUUUCAAAAUUUGGAGAAUUUAAACAAAAGGGUCGCGGCACCCGUAGGGGUGUUCUUCGCGAAAUCACAACGAAAUUCAAUGAUUCUUGGGGUGAAACGUGAAGAGGGAAGGCCUAGAUGAUGAUUAGGAGUGGUACCUUGACUCAAUUCGUCGGAAAAUUGGACGAAAACGGCGAAAACCCGCCGAUUUGGAAGCUUGGGUCGCGCGGGUCAAGGGUGACCCAUUCCUCCUGUUCCCCCGUGCACCACUCUCCCUCCUUUCCCUCCUUUCCGUCCCCUGAUUGGUCAGCUUCUUCCUCUCCCUUCUUCUGGUUCACUCUCAUCUCUCUUCUUCUCCGAUUGGGCAUUUCUGCCCAGUCUCUUCUUCUUUUCUGUUUUUCUGUUUCUUCUUCUCAUACACAUACACACACCAAAAACCUUUCCCUCAUCCCAGCCAUCCAUUUCAUUCAUCAAUAAAUCUGGGCCGUCCAAUUUCAUAAAAGAAUUUCUAUAUUUUACUAAAAUUAUAAUUCCUUAAAAUUCCAAAUUUCAAACGUUAAUAACUUCUUCGAUAUAACUCCAAAUCACGAACCGUCUGCGCCCACCGCGUCCGUAACGACGAGUACUACGACGAGGAUAUGUCAAGAAAACAAAUCUUAGAUGGCACGACACAACGAUUAACCUCGAAUGAUGUGCGUGCCUCAAAGGGCAUUUUUGUAAUAUCCUUUAUUAAAACUUUAAAAAUUCUUAAAAUUAGGGACGGGCUGUCACAAUCUACCCACCUUACAGAAAUUUCGUCCUCGAAAUUUACACAAUCUUUACAAUCCAUCAAUAUCCAUGAAACAGCCCGAAACACAUCUCUCUCAUUCGAUUCUUUGACUUCUAAGUAGCUUCUUCCACUGAAAGAUUCCUGCAUAAACUUUCACCAAACUCAUAGUCUUAUUUCUCAGUACAUCAUCUUUCUAAUACAAGAUAGGCACUGGCUCCUCAUCAUACGUCAAAUCCAUAUUGACUUCCAAGGUUGAGAAGGUAUCACUCGUGAAGGAUAUGAGGUUUAAUGUCGAAGUAUCGAAACAUAAAACAUAUCAUGCCCUUUCAUCGGCUCUGGAGGCAACUCAGCCUGUACGUAACUUCACUGACUCGUUCGAUGAUCACAGAUGGUCUGACGUAUCUAGGACUUACUUGUUUUUCUUUUUAAAACAAAUCAUACCUUUCCAAGGUGAUAAUUUCAAAAUCAUUCGAUCACCUACAUAUACAUCCGGUCAGUGGCAUGUUUGUCUGCUAAGCUCUUCAGCCGAUCCUGGCCCACUUCCAGGUUAGACUUAAUUACUUGAAUAUUCCGAAUAGUCUCAUCCACUAACUCAGGGCCUUGAAUACUAUCCGUCCCCAAUUCUAACAAUUUCGAAACACAAGACAUAGCUUUCCACGGCCUUAUGGCGUUACUCUAGGGAACAAACUGAAGGGACCAACAUACCCAAGAAGUUUAACAGAUCCCAAAUCUCUUUUUCCAUAAAACAAACAAAUAAAUGUUGCGCUUGUCUGGAAAAGUUGGUGUUCUCAUACUGAAGUAACAUACGCUGACGUCACCAGUCGAUCAAUUAUUAUUCAAAUUCCAACCUAACUAUUUUGUAUACGAGGAAGCUUGUCCACGAAAUCCAUAGUAAUAUUCUCCCAUUUCCGCCGUGGAAUGGGAAAUGACUACAUUAAUCCAAAAGACUUAUUUCUUUCUGCUUUAACCUGAUGACUGAUGAUACGCCUACUAACAUACUUCGCCAUUCCUCUUUUCAUACCCGUCAAUAGUACAUGAACGAAUGGUAUGAUAAAUCUUAGUACUUUUUGGGAUGCAUUGUAGAAGUGGAAAUAAUGUACAUCGUCAAAAUUGCUUUCUUUAAUUCCACACCAUUAGGCAUAAACACUUUGUUCUUUUGCAUAGGCUUGCCAUCUGAUUCUCUAACUCUAAGGUCCUUCUUUUUCCCGUUAUUCCUUGCUUUAAAAUAAAUUCUUGAAUUUCUUCGUCAAACGCUCGAGUAUCGAGUACGAUCUACCAAAUGGGUCCAACUUAGAAAUUAGCAAGUAAGGCUUCUUCUCGAUUUUUGAUACUCAACUUUACUCCAGUAGAUUUCAAAUCCACAAGAAGAUGAACAUAGCAAGCGUACCAAGCAUUAAUUUCUCACUGGGGUCUUCCUACUAAAAUGCAUCAGCCACAACAUUAGCUUGACCACCCUCGUCACACAAUCAUAGUCACUAAGCAACUCAUUCCACCUUUGUUGCCUAAGAUUAAGAUACCUCUGAAUAAACAGAUAUUGGGUACUCUUUUGAUUUGUAACAAUCAUGCACUUUUCUUCCCAUAAAGACAAUGUCUCCAAAUCUUCAAAGCAAAGAUGAUAGCUGCUAAUUCCAAAUUAUAAUUAGGGUAAUUCAUCUUAUGAGAUCCCAAUGGCCAUGAAGCAUAGGCAAUCAUCCUACCAUGUUGCAUCAACACGCAUCCAAGUACAUUCAAAGAAGUAUUAUUAUAGACCACAUAAUUACCACUAUCGUCUGGGAGUGCGAAAACAGAUGCAUGAGUGAGGGAAUACUUUACUUGCUGAAGCUCUACUCACAAUUUUUUUUAUCCCACUCAAACUUAACCUCUUUUCUCAUCAAUCUCGCCAAGGGCGAAGCAAUAAUUAAAAUCUUGGACGAACUAUCGACAAUAUCCUGCUAAUCCGAGAAAACUCUGAACCUCAGUCACAGUUCGCAAUUGUUCCAAAUUCUCAAUCGUUGCUACUCUUUUAAGAAUCCAUUUGAAUACCUUAAGUAGAUAUAAUUAAUUUAUCCAACAUUAGCAUUUGCUAAACUUAGCAUACAUCAACGUUCCCUCAAUCUUUGCAACACCAACUUUAAAUAUCUAGCAUGCACUGCUCUAAUCUUAUCAAUCUCGUCAAUGGCAAACAAUAACAACCCGGUCCAGAUAUCACUGGAAUACUUCCUUCAGCAAACUCAUAAAAGUAGCAGGUGCAUUCGUCACUCCGUAUGGCCUCCCAACUUGAAAUGACCAUAACGAGUCCUGGAUUUAGUCUUAUGAACAUCCUCACUGUUAAUCUUCAACUAAUAUCAUUCAGACCUCAAGUCAAUCUCAGAAAGUACCCAGGCGCCUCAGAGCUGAUCAAAUAAUCAUCAAUACACAACAAUGGAUAACAGCUCUCAAUCGUUACCCGAUUCAAUUACCUAAUAUCAAUGCCUAGCCUUAAUGUCCAUUUUCUUCCUCACAAAUAAACCGGAGCUUUUCCAAUGUGAUAAUAUAAGUUGAAAUGGAACUUUUAACUCAACCUGAACCAAUCUCUAACAUAGGAUUUGUACCUAAAAAACAAUUCAAUAAUAAAACCCACAUCUCUCUGCCUGGCGGCAAUCUAGGUAAGGCAUCUGGGAAUACACCAAGAAAAUGUCUAACCAUCUUUACAUCUUCCAUACUAUUAGGAUCAACAUCAUUUAGCACCAUAUGAACUCAAUAUCUUGGCAGCCUUUUGAUAACAAUCUUCUUUGCUCUCUCAACAGGAAUAAUGGCAUAACUCACUCCACUUUACUUACCCCCAAAAGUAACCUCUGGUCAUCCAGGUCGACAAAAAUUAACUGAUUCCCCAUAGCAAUCUAGCUUGACACAAAUAUACAUUUCCUCUACCAGAGUCAUCUUGUCUCAGAAAUCUGGGAUCACUAGUAAAUCUAUCACUUCGCCUCUGACCAGUGGCAGUAAAACCUAAGCUGGGAAAAUUAGCUCUAAUUUCACCUCCUUUGAAGCUCUGAGUCCUCCGAGGUCUUUGAUAUGACGAAUCUUUAACUUUAUCGUCUUAUUCUGAUUCUCAUUCCUUUCUUAUUCCUCUUUACUCUCGCUGAUCAUAUUCUCAAAGUCUUCAAAGCCCAACAACAUCUCGUAAACUCUUGGUAAAAAGUACAAUGGAUAGUGGUCGCCAAAGAACGCAACUUCUUCUUAUUAUCCAGCCAAAAACGACAUAACACCUCGACCGAAUUAACAACAUCAGAAUGGAAACAAGGCAAGUCUGUAAACUUUCUAUAAUAUUCAUCCGUCGUCAUUUUCCUUGUCUCACAUUUGCAAUUUCUUGUUUACUACCAUCACAAUAUGCCGGGGGAAUGAACUUUUCUUAAACAAUUCUUUAACCAACUUCCAAACAGUUGUCCUUCCGAUAUCGUCGGAUAACAUUCCUAUCUCCAUCAAAAUGCAGAUUCAUCACUCAAAAACUAGGUAAAUCAUCUCGACCUACCUAUCGGGAGGAAAAUUCCCUUAACCUUGCAUAAUCUGAAACGCCUUUUCCCAAUUGAUUAAGCCAUCAAUCUGCUCCCUUAGGUCCUUCAUAUCCCUAAAGGGAUUCAAAUUUAACUUAUAACCAGUCUCAAAAGGUCCCUUUAGAUAAUAGACUGAAUCACAAUGGCAAUAGUUUCCCCCCAAACUACUAUAUCAGGGAAAUUAGGCUCAUCCGAACUACGUGGCUCGCUACGAGGCGGUAUAGUUCUGACAGAAGACACUAGGAAAUUAUCAAGAUGUCCAGAAUUGCAACCUAGGCUCUGAUACCAACUGACACACCCCGUCCCGAAGGAGGGCGUGCUGGCCGUCACGUGAGAGUGACGUAACCAUUUACACAGUUCGGAAGCUUUAAAAAAAUUUCCAAUUACUAAGAUAACACACCCGAGGGUGAGUCCUACUUUUGUGAAUUCUGUCAGAACACCGUUGGAUUCCUCGUGGCCACCAAAGCUCUGCUAACUUGAACCUGGAGGGGCGCAAAACAAAAUUGAGUGGGUCAGUAAAACAAAGUUUUUUCGAAAAACUUUUCAUUUAAAACAUUUCUAACCCCUCACCGUAAAACCUGUAUACUUUCCCAGAAAAUAGCAUAUAUAUAAACAUAUAUAUAAGCAAAACUCUCAAAUCUCAAACCUUUAACACUUUUCAGAAAUAUAUAUAUAUAUAUAUAUAUAUAUAUAUAUAUAUAUAUAUAACCAUAUGAAAUCUCAAAGCUUGAAUCCCAAAUCUUUAACAUUUUUCAAGAAAAACAUGCCAUGCCAUAAAUCAAAAUAUAAAUCAGGUGAAAUAAGGAAUCAAUCGGAGACCCUGCAGUUGGUCCUAUACGAUUAAUUCAAUAGCUCAAUAUCUCACUAAGCCGGAGUCACCACAGUGACCUAUACGGCCCUACUCUGCACAUCACUCGGAACUACGUAAGGUAGUCUAUACGAUGAAAGGUGUAAAAAUAUGCUCUAGUGCUUCUCUCAUCAUAUCAUCAGCGCGCAUAUCUAAGGUCACCCACCAGUCGGAACCCCUCUAAUGGUCUGUACGACUGGCAUGUCGGAACCCUUACAUGGUCUGUACGACAUCCACCUACUUGGAUCCAAGGCGAGCGUGCGGUGUGGUGAAUAAUAUAUAAGCACUAACACCUAGGGUGCAGAUUAUGAGCUCAAACAUCUCAACAACAACAAUUCAAUGAAUAAACGAACUCACCUGACUUACCUGUGCCUCCACAGCACCAUGCAACAUGUGUAUGCAUCAUAUAUCAAUCAUAUAACUCAUAUGAAAUUCACAUUUUCCAAAUAAUUCUAUGCAUGGCAUUUUCAAAACAUAAUUUCUCAUAAAAGCAUUUUUCUGGGAAAAACAAUAGUAUAUAGGUAAUACGAAAACAAAACUGCCCA
Molecule: long non-coding RNA, 7076 nt
Filed under: Malus domestica (apple)
Lineage: Eukaryota; Viridiplantae; Streptophyta; Magnoliopsida; Rosales; Rosaceae
Description: long non-coding RNA (MDOM_LNC004068)
Source: RNAcentral